GACGAACGCUGGCGGCGUGCUUAACACAUGCAAGUCGAACGGAAAGGCCCUGCUUUUGUGGGGUGCUCGAGUGGCGAACGGGUGAGUAACACGUGAGUAACCUGCCCUUGACUUUGGGAUAACCUCAGGAAACUGGGGCUAAUACCGGAUAGGAGCUCCUGCUGCAUGGUGGGGGUUGGAAAGUUUCGGCGGUUGGGGAUGGACUCGCGGCUUAUCAGCUUGUUGGUGGGGUAGUGGCUUACCAAGGCUUUGACGGGUAGCCGGCCUGAGAGGGUGACCGGCCACAUUGGGACUGAGAUACGGCCCAGACUCCUACGGGAGGCAGCAGUGGGGAAUAUUGCACAAUGGGCGGAAGCCUGAUGCAGCAACGCCGCGUGCGGGAUGACGGCCUUCGGGUUGUAAACCGCUUUCGCCUGUGACGAAGCGUGAGUGACGGUAAUGGGUAAAGAAGCACCGGCUAACUACGUGCCAGCAGCCGCGGUGAUACGUAGGGUGCGAGCGUUGUCCGGAUUUAUUGGGCGUAAAGGGCUCGUAGGUGGUUGAUCGCGUCGGAAGUGUAAUCUUGGGGCUUAACCCUGAGCGUGCUUUCGAUACGGGUUGACUUGAGGAAGGUAGGGGAGAAUGGAAUUCCUGGUGGAGCGGUGGAAUGCGCAGAUAUCAGGAGGAACACCAGUGGCGAAGGCGGUUCUCUGGGCCUUUCCUGACGCUGAGGAGCGAAAGCGUGGGGAGCGAACAGGCUUAGAUACCCUGGUAGUCCACGCUGUAAACGGUGGGUACUAGGUGUGGGGUUCAUUCCACGGGUUCCGUGCCGUAGCUAACGCUUUAAGUACCCCGCCUGGGGAGUACGGCCGCAAGGCUAAAACUCAAAGGAAUUGACGGGGCCCCGCACAAGCGGCGGAGCAUGCGGAUUAAUUCGAUGCAACGCGUAGAACCUUACCUGGGUUUGACAUGGAUCGGGAGUGCUCAGAGAUGGGUGUGCCUCUUUUGGGGUCGGUUCACAGGUGGUGCAUGGCUGUCGUCAGCUCGUGUCGUGAGAUGUUGGGUUAAGUCCCGCAACGAGCGCAACCCUUGUUCACUGUUGCCAGCACGUUAUGGUGGGGACUCAGUGGAGACCGCCGGGGUCAACUCGGAGGAAGGUGGGGAUGACGUCAAGUCAUCAUGCCCCUUAUGUCCAGGGCUUCACGCAUGCUACAAUGGCUGGUACAGAGAGUGGCGAGCCUGUGAGGGUGAGCGAAUCUCGGAAAGCCGGUCUCAGUUCGGAUUGGGGUCUGCAACUCGACCUCAUGAAGUCGGAGUCGCUAGUAAUCGCAGAUCAGCAACGCUGCGGUGAAUACGUUCCCGGGGCU
This 1346-nucleotide ribosomal RNA is filed under the name uncultured bacterium. Its description in RNAcentral is "partial 16S ribosomal RNA". It matches the Rfam family "Bacterial small subunit ribosomal RNA", at positions 28 to 1381 of the family's 1533-position model. The record is from RNAcentral.